This 1405-nucleotide ribosomal RNA is filed under the name uncultured bacterium. RNAcentral describes it as "16S ribosomal RNA". It matches the Rfam family "Bacterial small subunit ribosomal RNA". The record is from RNAcentral.
GAGUGGCGGACGGGUGAGUAACACGUAGGUAACCUGCCCCGGAGCGGGGGAUAACAUUUGGAAACAGAUGCUAAUACCGCAUAACAACAAAAGCCACAUGGCUUUUGUUUGAAAGAUGGCUUUGGCUAUCACUCUGGGAUGGACCUGCGGUGCAUUAGCUAGUUGGUAAGGUAACGGCUUACCAAGGCGAUGAUGCAUAGCCGAGUUGAGAGACUGAUCGGCCACAAUGGAACUGAGACACGGUCCAUACUCCUACGGGAGGCAGCAGUAGGGAAUCUUCCACAAUGGGCGCAAGCCUGAUGGAGCAACACCGCGUGAGUGAAGAAGGGUUUCGGCUCGUAAAGCUCUGUUGUUGGAGAAGAACGUGCGUGAGAGUAACUGUUCACGCAGUGACGGUAUCCAACCAGAAAGUCACGGCUAACUACGUGCCAGCAGCCGCGGUAAUACGUAGGUGGCAAGCGUUAUCCGGAUUUAUUGGGCGUAAAGCGAGCGCAGGCGGUUGCUUAGGUCUGAUGUGAAAGCCUUCGGCUUAACCGAAGAAGUGCAUCGGAAACCGGGCGACUUGAGUGCAGAAGAGGACAGUGGAACUCCAUGUGUAGCGGUGGAAUGCGUAGAUAUAUGGAAGAACACCAGUGGCGAAGGCGGCUGUCUGGUCUGCAACUGACGCUGAGGCUCGAAAGCAUGGGUAGCGAACUGAAUGAGAUACCCUGGUAGUCCAUGCCGUAAACGAUCCCUGGUAGGUGUUGGAGGGGUUUCACGCCCUUCAGUGCCGGAGCUAACGCAUUAAGUACUCCGCCUGGGGAGUUCGACCGCAAGGUUUGAAACUCAAAGGAAUUGACGGGGGCCCGCACAAGCGGUGGAGCAUGUGGUUUAAUUCGAAGAUACGCGAAGAACCUUACCAGGUCUUGACAUCUUGCGCUAACCUUAGAGAUAAGGCGUUCCCUUCGGGGACGCAAUGACAGGUGGUGCAUGGUCGUCGUCAGCUCGUGUCGUGAGAUGUUGGGUUAAGUCCCGCAACGAGCACAACCCUUGUUACUAGUUGCCAGCAUUAAGUUGGGCACUCUAGUGAGACUGCCGGUGACAAACCGGAGGAAGGUGGGGACGACGUCAGAUCAUCAUGCCCCUUAUGACCUGGGCUACACACGUGCUACAAUGGACGGUACAACGAGUCGCAAGCUCGCGAGAGUAAGCUAAUCUCUUAAAGCCGUUCUCAGUUCGGACUGUAGGCUGCAACUCGCCUACACGAAGUCGGAAUCGCUAGUAAUCGCGGAUCAGCAUGCCGCGGUGAAUACGUUCCCGGGCAAAGUACACACCGCCCGUCACACCAUGGGAGUUUGUAACGCCCAAAGUCGGUGGCCUAACCUUUAUGGAGGAAAGGGCCUAAGGCGGGACAGAUGACUGGGGU